GAAAUGCGAUAAGUAAUGUGAAUUGCAGAAUUCAGUGAAUCAUCGAAUCUUUGAACGCACCUUGCGCUCCUUGGUAUUCCUUGGAGCAUGCCUGUUUGAGUAUCAUGAAAUCUUCAAAGUAAAUCUUUUGUUAACUCAAUUGGUUUCUACUUUGGUAUUGGAGGUCUUUGCAGCUUCACACCUGCUCCUCUUUGUUCAUUAGCUGGAUCUCAGUGUUAUGAUUGGUUCCACUCGGCGUGAUAAGUUAUCUAUCGCUGAGGACACUGUAAAAGGUGGCCAAGGUAAAUGCAGAUGAACCGCUUCUAAUAGUCCAUUGACUUGGACAAUACUUUUAUGAUCUGAUCUCAAAUCAGGUAGGACUACCCGCUGAACUUAAGC
Molecule: unclassified non-coding RNA, 378 nt
Filed under: plant metagenome
Description: partial contains 5.8S ribosomal RNA, internal transcribed spacer 2, and large subunit ribosomal RNA
Rfam family: 5.8S ribosomal RNA (bases 1-105)
Source: RNAcentral